Molecule: ribosomal RNA, 2902 nt
Filed under: Escherichia coli KTE100
Lineage: Bacteria; Pseudomonadati; Pseudomonadota; Gammaproteobacteria; Enterobacterales; Enterobacteriaceae
Description: bacterial LSU rRNA
Rfam family: Bacterial large subunit ribosomal RNA
Source: RNAcentral
UUAAGCGACUAAGCGUACACGGUGGAUGCCCUGGCAGUCAGAGGCGAUGAAGGACGUGCUAAUCUGCGAUAAGCGUCGGUAAGGUGAUAUGAACCGUUAUAACCGGCGAUUUCCGAAUGGGGAAACCCAGUGUGUUUCGACACACUAUCAUUAACUGAAUCCAUAGGUUAAUGAGGCGAACCGGGGGAACUGAAACAUCUAAGUACCCCGAGGAAAAGAAAUCAACCGAGAUUCCCCCAGUAGCGGCGAGCGAACGGGGAGCAGCCCAGAGUCUGAAUCAGUGUGUGUGUUAGUGGAAGCGUCUGGAAAGGCGCGCGAUACAGGGUGACAGCCCCGUACACAAAAAUGCACAUACUGUGAGCUCGAUGAGUAGGGCGGGACACGUGGUAUCCUGUCUGAAUAUGGGGGGACCAUCCUCCAAGGCUAAAUACUCCUGACUGACCGAUAGUGAACCAGUACCGUGAGGGAAAGGCGAAAAGAACCCCGGCGAGGGGAGUGAAAAAGAACCUGAAACCGUGUACGUACAAGCAGUGGGAGCCUCUUUUAUGGGGUGACUGCGUACCUUUUGUAUAAUGGGUCAGCGACUUAUAUUCUGUAGCAAGGUUAACCGAAUAGGGGAGCCGAAGGGAAACCGAGUCUUAACUGGGCGUUAAGUUGCAGGGUAUAGACCCGAAACCCGGUGAUCUAGCCAUGGGCAGGUUGAAGGUUGGGUAACACUAACUGGAGGACCGAACCGACUAAUGUUGAAAAAUUAGCGGAUGACUUGUGGCUGGGGGUGAAAGGCCAAUCAAACCGGGAGAUAGCUGGUUCUCCCCGAAAGCUAUUUAGGUAGCGCCUCGUGAAUUCAUCUCCGGGGGUAGAGCACUGUUUCGGCAAGGGGGUCAUCCCGACUUACCAACCCGAUGCAAACUGCGAAUACCGGAGAAUGUUAUCACGGGAGACACACGGCGGGUGCUAACGUCCGUCGUGAAGAGGGAAACAACCCAGACCGCCAGCUAAGGUCCCAAAGUCAUGGUUAAGUGGGAAACGAUGUGGGAAGGCCCAGACAGCCAGGAUGUUGGCUUAGAAGCAGCCAUCAUUUAAAGAAAGCGUAAUAGCUCACUGGUCGAGUCGGCCUGCGCGGAAGAUGUAACGGGGCUAAACCAUGCACCGAAGCUGCGGCAGCGACGCUUAUGCGUUGUUGGGUAGGGGAGCGUUCUGUAAGCCUGUGAAGGUGUGCUGUGAGGCAUGCUGGAGGUAUCAGAAGUGCGAAUGCUGACAUAAGUAACGAUAAAGCGGGUGAAAAGCCCGCUCGCCGGAAGACCAAGGGUUCCUGUCCAACGUUAAUCGGGGCAGGGUGAGUCGACCCCUAAGGCGAGGCCGAAAGGCGUAGUCGAUGGGAAACAGGUUAAUAUUCCUGUACUUGGUGUUACUGCGAAGGGGGGACGGAGAAGGCUAUGUUGGCCGGGCGACGGUUGUCCCGGUUUAAGCGUGUAGGCUGGUUUUCCAGGCAAAUCCGGAAAAUCAAGGCUGAGGCGUGAUGACGAGGCACUACGGUGCUGAAGCAACAAAUGCCCUGCUUCCAGGAAAAGCCUCUAAGCAUCAGGUAACAUCAAAUCGUACCCCAAACCGACACAGGUGGUCAGGUAGAGAAUACCAAGGCGCUUGAGAGAACUCGGGUGAAGGAACUAGGCAAAAUGGUGCCGUAACUUCGGGAGAAGGCACGCUGAUAUGUAGGUGAAGUCCCUUGCGGAUGGAGCUGAAAUCAGUCGAAGAUACCAGCUGGCUGCAACUGUUUAUUAAAAACACAGCACUGUGCAAACACGAAAGUGGACGUAUACGGUGUGACGCCUGCCCGGUGCCGGAAGGUUAAUUGAUGGGGUCAGCGCAAGCGAAGCUCUUGAUCGAAGCCCCGGUAAACGGCGGCCGUAACUAUAACGGUCCUAAGGUAGCGAAAUUCCUUGUCGGGUAAGUUCCGACCUGCACGAAUGGCGUAAUGAUGGCCAGGCUGUCUCCACCCGAGACUCAGUGAAAUUGAACUCGCUGUGAAGAUGCAGUGUACCCGCGGCAAGACGGAAAGACCCCGUGAACCUUUACUAUAGCUUGACACUGAACAUUGAGCCUUGAUGUGUAGGAUAGGUGGGAGGCUUUGAAGUGUGGACGCCAGUCUGCAUGGAGCCGACCUUGAAAUACCACCCUUUAAUGUUUGAUGUUCUAACGUGGACCCGUGAUCCGGGUUGCGGACAGUGUCUGGUGGGUAGUUUGACUGGGGCGGUCUCCUCCUAAAGAGUAACGGAGGAGCACGAAGGUUGGCUAAUCCUGGUCGGACAUCAGGAGGUUAGUGCAAUGGCAUAAGCCAGCUUGACUGCGAGCGUGACGGCGCGAGCAGGUGCGAAAGCAGGUCAUAGUGAUCCGGUGGUUCUGAAUGGAAGGGCCAUCGCUCAACGGAUAAAAGGUACUCCGGGGAUAACAGGCUGAUACCGCCCAAGAGUUCAUAUCGACGGCGGUGUUUGGCACCUCGAUGUCGGCUCAUCACAUCCUGGGGCUGAAGUAGGUCCCAAGGGUAUGGCUGUUCGCCAUUUAAAGUGGUACGCGAGCUGGGUUUAGAACGUCGUGAGACAGUUCGGUCCCUAUCUGCCGUGGGCGCUGGAGAACUGAGGGGGGCUGCUCCUAGUACGAGAGGACCGGAGUGGACGCAUCACUGGUGUUCGGGUUGUCAUGCCAAUGGCACUGCCCGGUAGCUAAAUGCGGAAGAGAUAAGUGCUGAAAGCAUCUAAGCACGAAACUUGCCCCGAGAUGAGUUCUCCCUGACUCCUUGAGAGUCCUGAAGGAACGUUGAAGACGACGACGUUGAUAGGCCGGGUGUGUAAGCGCAGCGAUGCGUUGAGCUAACCGGUACUAAUGAACCGUGAGGCUUAACCUU